RNAcentral lists this ribosomal RNA (501 nucleotides) under uncultured bacterium. RNAcentral describes it as "bacterial SSU rRNA". It matches the Rfam family "Bacterial small subunit ribosomal RNA", at positions 28 to 518 of the family's 1533-position model. The record is from RNAcentral.
GACGAACGCUGGCGGCGUGGAUUAGGCAUGCAAGUCGAACGGUAUCAUCCUUUCGGGGGUGAGAGAGUGGCGAACUGGUGAGUAACACGUAGGUUAUCUACCCUCAAGACGGGGACAACCCAGGGAAACUUGGGCUAAUACCGGAUGUGAGCAACUUUUAGUUGUUUGAAAGGUGGCGUAAGCUGUCGCUUGGGGAUGAGCCUGCGUCCUAUUAGUUAGUUGGUGAGGUAACGGCUCACCUAGGCAAUGAUAGGUAGGCGGCCUUAACGGGUGGUCGCCCACACUGGGAUUGAGAUACGGCCCAGACUCCUACGGGAGGCAGCAGUCGAGAAUAGUCUACAAUGGCCGAAAGGCUGAUAGUGCGACGCCGCGUGAACGAAGAAGCCCUUCGGGGUGUAAAGUUCUUUUAUAUGUGAGCAGUGCUUUCUAUGUGAACAGCAUGGGGAGAGAGAUAUUAGCAUAUGAAUAAGCAACGGCUAAACUCCGUGCCCAGCAGCCGAC